RNAcentral lists this unclassified non-coding RNA (171 nucleotides) under uncultured Cladophialophora. RNAcentral describes it as "sequence contains ITS2". The record is from RNAcentral. Lineage: Eukaryota; Fungi; Ascomycota; Eurotiomycetes; Chaetothyriales; Herpotrichiellaceae.
UCACCCCUCAAGCCCCGCGCUUGGUGUUGGACGGCCGGUUGAGCGAUCGACCCCUCCUAAAGACAAUGACGGCGGCCUGUGGUUCCCCCGGUACACUGAGCUUUUCAUCGAGCACGUAUCGGACAAGGGCACCCAGGACCCGGUCCUCUCCUUUAACUAGGAAACUUCUAA